RNAcentral lists this unclassified non-coding RNA (327 nucleotides) under Hevea brasiliensis (rubber tree). The record is from RNAcentral. Lineage: Eukaryota; Viridiplantae; Streptophyta; Magnoliopsida; Malpighiales; Euphorbiaceae.
CAUAAAAAUAGAUCCAUCUAAUAGUGUUCUUGAACUGACGACCAUGCAACUUCCAUCUAACCAAGCAUCCUCUGUUCGUUGGGGCCAUUAUUAAGUGCAUUAAAACAAUUACAUUUCUUUAGAAGUAAGAAGACUGAUCAUGAAGAACAUUCAAGUGAGCCAGUAUUCUGGCCGAGAGAGACCUCAUGCUGCUGUUCCCCCUCUGUGUUAAAUCAACUAAAGGCAUCUGAGCAGAGGGCCCAUAAUUCUGUUUGAACUCUGGCAGUCUGAAUAUCCUUUCUAGAGCAUUUAGAGCCUUCUCCUGCAACGUUGGGGAGGAAGAGCUUA